GGCCUUUCGGGUUGGUAAACCUCUUUCAGCAGGGAAGAAGCGCAAGUGACGGUACCUGCAGAAGAAGCGCCGGCUAACUACGUGCCAGCAGCCGCGGUAAUACGUAGGGCGCAAGCGUUGUCCGGAAUUAUUGGGCGUAAAGAGCUCGUAGGCGGUUUGUCGCGUCUGGUGUGAAAACUCGAGGCUCAACCUCGAGCUUGCAUCGGGUACGGGCAGACUAGAGUGCGGUAGGGGAGACUGGAAUUCCUGGUGUAGCGGUGGAAUGCGCAGAUAUCAGGAGGAACACCGAUGGCGAAGGCAGGUCUCUGGGCCGCAACUGACGCUGAGGAGCGAAAGCAUGGGGAGCGAACAGGAUUAGAUACCCUGGUAGUCCAUGCCGUAAACGUUGGGCACUAGGUGUGGGGCUCAUUCCACGAGUUCCGUGCCGCAGCAAACGCAUUAAGUGCCCCGCCUGGGGAGUACGGCCGCAAGGCUAAAACUCAAAGGAAUUGACGGGGGCCCGCACAAGCGGCGGAGCAUGCGGAUUAAUUCGAUGCAACGCGAAGAACCUUACCAAGGCUUGACAUGCACGAGAAGCCACCAGAGAUGGUGGUCUCUUUGGACACUCGUGCACAGGUGGUGCAUGGUUGUCGUCAGCUCGUGUCGUGAGAUGUUGGGUUAAGUCCCGCAACGAGCGCAACCCUCGUCCCAUGUUGCCAGCGGGUUAUGCCGGGGACUCAUGGGAGACUGCCGGGGUCAACUCGGAGGAAGGUGGGGAUGACGUCAAAUCAUCAUGCCCCUUAUGUCUUGGGCUUCACGCAUGCUACAAUGGCCGGUACAAAGGGCUGCGAUACCGUAAGGUGGAGCGAAUCCCAAAAAGCCGGUCUCAGUUCGGAUUGGGGUCUGCAACUCGACCCCAUGAAGUCGGAGUCGCUAGUAAUCGCAGAUCAGCAACGCUGCGGUGAAUACGUUCCCGGGCCUUGUACACACCGCCCGUCAAGUCACGAAAGUCGGUAACACCCGAAGCCCAUGGCCCAACCGUCGCGGGGGAGUGUCGAAGGUGAACUGGCAG
RNAcentral lists this ribosomal RNA (1051 nucleotides) under bacterium AW18(2013). Its description in RNAcentral is "bacterial SSU rRNA". It matches the Rfam family "Bacterial small subunit ribosomal RNA", at positions 413 to 1474 of the family's 1533-position model. The record is from RNAcentral.